AUGCCGUCCGUCAGUCGAGAUCAAUGUGUGUGCACGAACACAGAUGCAUGGACGAGCAUGGACCCAGCGCUUGCCGAGGAGCUUCUUGACGAAGAUCGCCGUGAGCAGCGAGUAGGCUGUGCAGAAGAAGUUGGUCGCCACGAAUGCCCUGCUCACCCACGAAACAAGAACAGGUCAGACAUCGAUUCGCUGGUUGCAGAAGCAGACGGGAGAUCGAGAUCGAUCGAUCUAAUUAACGAAUCAACGAAGGAAGGGGCAUGCACUAGCUGCAUGGCGAGAGAUACGUACACCCAGACGUCGAACAUGGUGAAGUUGACCUCGACCCCCCAGCGCUCCUGCCGGUUGGUGACGACGAGGACGGCGGCGGCCAGCGACGCGACGGCGGCCCCGACACGCAGCGCCACGGUGGCCGUGACGUGCUUCGCAGAGGCCACCUCCAUCGUCGCCGCGUCCUGCGACUCCAGUUCCACCAUGGUGACGGAGGCGCGACGAGUCAUGUGCGGCGGAUGA
This 510-nucleotide ribosomal RNA is filed under the name Triticum aestivum (bread wheat). RNAcentral describes it as "partial small subunit ribosomal RNA". Lineage: Eukaryota; Viridiplantae; Streptophyta; Magnoliopsida; Poales; Poaceae. The record is from RNAcentral.